AGAAUAACAACAAUAAAAAUUCAGUUGGGUAUACACACAUGGGGCUAUCUUGUGGUUUCUGUGCUUUAUUCUAUUCUAUAUCUUUCCCUGUACUGAUUGAUACCGUAUUGUCUGCAAUUACUUCAGUAAUAUUCUUCCAUUUUGUUCUUCUAAAGAAUUUCCUUGAGUUUAGGACCCAGAGUUUCCAUGUGAAUUAAAAUGGUCUAUAUUUGUAGAAACCACUGCAAGAGUUUGAUAUGAAUUACUUUAACCCGACAGAACAAAUUGAGAAUUAAUAUAUAAUAGGUUGGGUCUUCCAUUCCCUGAAAUACUGCAUAUGUCUUCAUUUAGUCAGGUCUUUGAUUUUUAGCUCACCAGCAAUGAAUAAUUUUCAGCUUUGAAAUUUUAUAUACACCAUGUUAGAUUCAUAACCAUUUCAUUUUCUCUGUAAUAAUUAUAUAUUGUAUUUUUUAAGGUUUCCACUCAUUUGUUACUGUUUCAUAAAAUUAUGACUGGUUUCUUUCUCUGAGUUGACUUUGUGUCCUAGAAACUUUCUGAACUUGUUUGCUAUUCCUGAAAAAUACUAUUGAAAUUAUUUUUAUUUUUUUAUUUGGGAAAUUAUGUCAGCUACAACUGGGGAGUUUUGUCUCAUUUAAAUGCAUUUGUGCCCUAUAUUGCCAGGCUAUGAUGUUUAACAUCACAUCUGUCAGGAGAGGUGUAGACCAACGAAGAACACUUCUUGUUUCUGAUCCCUCAUAGGAAGAAUCCAGACUUUCACUUUCUGCAUAAUGAUGGCUAUAGGAUGUCUCAUAGUCAGCCCUUACAAAAUUGAAACUCCCAACCAUGCCCAUUUUUAAGUUUUAAUAAUGACUUAUAUUGGUAUAUUUCAAAUGAUUUCCUGUAUUCAUAGAUAUAACCUUGUUUCCUUUCAACUUAUUGAGAUAAGAUAGAUUGCAUUGAUUGUUUAUCGAAUGUCAAAUUAAAUUUGUACAUCUGGAAUAAAUGCUGUUUGGUUACUGUACAUAAUUCUUGAACAUACUUUUAAGUUCACGGCAUUAAUAUUUUGUUAAGUCUCUAUAUGGCUGUGUUCCUGAGAGACAGGGUCUGUUAGGUUUUGGUCCUGUAUACCUGAUAUUAAUUACUGAUAAGAGGUUAAAUGAGUGGUUGUGUUGUGGAACUCCUGUGUAACUUCUGAAAAGAGAUAGUGAGCUGGUGUUCCUUCUGCUUUGAACACUUGGUCAGGAUCGCAAAGAUUUCUUUACUGGGAGCCUUUUAAUUUACCAAAUGGAAAAACCUGUAGACAUUUGCACCUGUUUUACAUUUGUUGAUUUUACUUAGUUGGUAGUUUUGAGGAGUUAGGUUUCUUUUUCUUCUACAUCACUGACACCAUAACGUAGCAGAGGCUGUUGCCUUACAUCUCCUCAUUUAUUUUUUCCUUUUCCUUUUUAAUUUUUUCUCUCCUUUCUUUUCUCUCUCUUCAUUCCUGUUUGCUGUGCCAGAGAAUGAACUCAGCACCUAUGCGCCCUAGGUAAGACAUCUCCCACGGAGGUGUGCUGUACCUCACUCAGAUCCUUGCUCCUUUCUAGGAGGCUAUAGAUUUUUUCACAGCACUGCCCACUUCAGUUUUGGAGCUGAUGGCAUCUGUCCUUCCAUUUUUCUUGGGUUUUCAGAGCUGACUUUUUAUCACACUUUUCCUCAGCUGUCUGUGCUAAUGACAUUUACUUCUGAUUUGUGAUCUUAUGCCAUUUUCUCAACUUGUUUAUUGUAUCUGUUUUCUUUCUUUUCUUGAUUCUGGGUGUAGGAACUUAUAUCUACUAAACUGGGAA
RNAcentral lists this long non-coding RNA (1805 nucleotides) under Mus musculus (house mouse). RNAcentral's name for it is "long non-coding RNA chr1:42284348-42286153". Lineage: Eukaryota; Metazoa; Chordata; Mammalia; Rodentia; Muridae. The record is from RNAcentral.